GUCUAUGGCCCUACCACCCUGAACGCACCCGAUCUUGUCUGAUCUCGGAAGCUAAGCAGGGUCGAGCCUGGUUAGUACUUGGAUGGGAGAAUUCCCAUUUGAUACAGCAA
Molecule: ribosomal RNA, 110 nt
Filed under: Ochotona princeps (American pika)
Lineage: Eukaryota; Metazoa; Chordata; Mammalia; Lagomorpha; Ochotonidae
Source: RNAcentral